This is a long non-coding RNA of Mugil cephalus (flathead mullet), 347 nucleotides long. RefSeq lists it as uncharacterized. The transcript has 3 exons. The record is from RefSeq and is a predicted model, not a curated record. NCBI's taxonomy places the organism in Eukaryota, Metazoa, Chordata, Actinopteri, Mugiliformes, Mugilidae.
UGUUCAGUCAGGAAUCACAUCAGUAAUGUCUCCAGAGGAGAGAGGAUCUCUACCUGUGGCUUCAUAUUCAUCAACUGCACCUUACCUAAUGGGACACACAUAUCAGAGUGGGUGUUUGAAGCCAAUAACACACUGUGUAUUAACCCAACUACUGCCCCAACUACUGCCCCUACCACUAGUUUGGGUAAGGAGACUAACAUAGUGUCAAAUAAACCCUCCAAUCAAACUUUGAUCAGUGAUGAACCGUGGUACAUUACCUAUUUGCCACUAAUAGCUGGUGUAUCCUCAGCCCUGGUCAUUGUCUUGGUUGUGGUCUUAUCAGUCAUCUGGGCUCUGAAGAAAAAGCA